CUUUCUCAGCAACUGGGAAACGGGGGAGGGAGAAAUUUUGGAUUGAGGCUGCCAGAUGGAGGGCAAGUUCCCCAAAAUGCACAGGAAAAGGUGCCUCGUGGCUGUUUUCAAUUCCACCACACUGAUGCCUGCAGCAUGUGUGUUUACAGCACGGGUUGUGGGGUCAGGCAGCUGUGGAGCCGUGGGCAAAUGACUUGCCCUCUCUGAUCCUGUAUGUAAUUGAGGAUGCUUAGAGUAUGGGUCCCAUGACAAAAGGAAGAGCCUUCUUGAGCACCAGGACCAGGCCAAGCAUGCAAUCCACGCUGGCGGGGCCCCUACAUUCCUCUUUCUUGAGUGAAUCACCUGUUCAGGCCCUUCGCUCAUUCUAGAAGAUUGUCUGAGGACAGAGGGGUUGGCGGGCACCAGCAGGACGGAGCAUGGCCUGGUCGGGAUGAGACGCACCCACCUCUGCAUGCACAUGGGCUCUUCCUGCCAGCCAGUGCCCACCAGGCCCACGGGAACAGCUGAACAAAACCAACAAAUUCCUGCGUGUGGCAGCUGACAGCCGGGAGGAGGCUGGAGAGUUUAGGGAAGAGAGUCAAUUUUUAAAAUAAGUAAAAUACACACACCAGCAGCUAAAGAGUUCUUCUUCUCAUUAUUAUUACUGAUACUGAGGCCAGGAGGGCCUCACUCUGAAGGGGAGAUUUAAGCAAACAGCCUAGGAGUUUGUGGGAGCAGUCCAGAGCACCCUCGGAGGAGAGGAAACGAACCUGGGGUCGCAGGACCCAAAGAGGUCUGCGUCCCUAGGGCAGCGAAGAGCUCAGAAGUCGAGGGGGCGGGCCCAGGAGGGCCCUAAGGAGACGGUACUAGAGCCUCAGGGGCAGCCCCUAGCUAUAAGCUGGCUGGGGCAGAUGGGGGAAAGGGCGCAAGCCCUCACCUGGCCUGAGUGACCUGUGGCCCCAGCUGUGUGGCCUUAGGAGCUAACCGCUGGCCAGGACGUCACCCGCCAUGUCCCCAACCCCGCAAAGGCUACAGAGGCUUGUGGGAACCGUGCAGCUGCAGCAGUGGUCGGGGACAGGCACGCACAGAUGAGUCAGGACACACGCGUGAGCC
RNAcentral lists this long non-coding RNA (1092 nucleotides) under Homo sapiens (human). Its description in RNAcentral is "HSALNT0233609". Lineage: Eukaryota; Metazoa; Chordata; Mammalia; Primates; Hominidae. The record is from RNAcentral.